RNAcentral lists this ribosomal RNA (403 nucleotides) under bacterium. Its description in RNAcentral is "partial 16S ribosomal RNA". It matches the Rfam family "Bacterial small subunit ribosomal RNA", at positions 355 to 776 of the family's 1533-position model. The record is from RNAcentral.
UGGGGAAUAUUGCACACUGGGGGAAACCCUGAUGCAGCGACGCCGCGUGAACGAAGAAGGUAUUCGUAUCGUAAAGUUCUGUCCUAUGGGAAGAUAAUGACAGUACCAUAGAAGAAAGCUCCGGCUAAAUACGUGCCAGCAGCCGCGGUAAUACGUAUGGAGCGAGCGUUGUCCGGAAUUAUUGGGCGUAAAGGGUACGCAGGCGGUUUAAUAAGUCGAAUGUUAAAGAUCGGGGCUCAACCCCGCAAAGCAUUGGAAACUGAUAAACUUGAGUAGUGGAGAGGAAAGUGGAAUUCCUAGUGUAGUGGUGAAAUACGUAGAUAUUAGGAGGAAUACCAGUAGCGAAGGCGACUUUCUGGACACAAACUGACGCUGAGGUACGAAAGCGGGGGGAGCAAACAGG